RNAcentral lists this ribosomal RNA (441 nucleotides) under uncultured bacterium. RNAcentral describes it as "bacterial SSU rRNA". It matches the Rfam family "Bacterial small subunit ribosomal RNA", at positions 958 to 1399 of the family's 1533-position model. The record is from RNAcentral.
AACGCGAAGAACCUUACCUGGGCUCGAAGCGCAGUGGACCGGGGUGGAAACAUCCCUUUUCGCAAGAACUGCUGCGGAGGUGCUGCAUGGCUGUCGUCAGCUCGUGUCGUGAGAUGUUGGGUUAAGUCCCGCAACGAGCGCAACCCUUAUCGUUAGUUGCCAGCGGGUUAUGCCGGGCACUCUAGCGAAACCGCCUCGGAUAACGGGGAGGAAGGUGGGGAUGACGUCAAGUCCUCAUGGCCUUUAUGUCCAGGGCUACACACGUGCUACAAUGGUCGGUACAAACCGUCGCAAACCCGCGAGGGGGAGCUAAUCGGAAAAAGCCGGCCUCAGUUCGGAUUGGAGUCUGCAACCCGACUCCAUGAAGCUGGAAUCGCUAGUAAUCGCAGAUCAGAACGCUGCGGUGAAUACGUUCCCGGGCCUUGUACACACCGACGCGUA